GGGCAAUAGCUGCUCCUUCAUCUUGUUAAUAAACAUGGUGUUGUCAAUCUGUCCCGAGACGGUGGGCACUGCUGGCCAGAAGUACGGAGAGGAGUUGAAAUGAGAUUCUUCCAUCCUAGUUUACCAGAACUCUGCACGCAACCCUUCCAAUUGCUCUAUAACUAUCCCACAUGGGCUGGAGCUUCAACCCUGUACCACAGCACGUUCCCACUGCAGGGCCUUCAUCAUCCCAGCUUCCACAAACGGGCCAGAGAUGGGACCUUCUUCCUAUUCACCAGUCUAGUAUCAGACAGAUGUCAAUGUACCCU
RNAcentral lists this long non-coding RNA (308 nucleotides) under Gallus gallus (chicken). The record is from RNAcentral. Lineage: Eukaryota; Metazoa; Chordata; Aves; Galliformes; Phasianidae.